Molecule: ribosomal RNA, 447 nt
Filed under: uncultured bacterium
Lineage: Bacteria
Description: bacterial SSU rRNA
Rfam family: Bacterial small subunit ribosomal RNA
Source: RNAcentral
UCGGGAAUUUUGGGCAAUGGGCGAAAGCCUGACCCAGCAACGCCGCGUGAAGGAUGAAGUAUUUCGGUAUGUAAACUUCGUAAGAAUAGGAAGAAUAAAUGACGGUACUAUUUGUAAGGUCCGGCUAACUACGUGCCAGCAGCCGCGGUAAUACGUAGGGACCAAGCGUUGUUCGGAUUUACUGGGCGUAAAGGGCGCGUAGGCGGUGUGUCAAGUCAGUUGUGAAAUCUCCGAGCUUAACUCGGAACGGUCAACUGAUACUGUCACACUAGAGUGCAGAAGGGGCAAUCGGAAUUCUUGGUGUAGCGGUGAAAUGCGUAGAUAUCAAGAGGAACACCUGAGGCGAAGGCGGGUUGCUGGGCUGAUACUGACGCUGAGGCGCGAAAGCUAGGGUAGCAAACGGGAUUAGAUACCCCAGUAGUCCCUGAGCGGGCUGGCAAGGCGCAU